GUAUUUUUCAAUUGCGUGUUCUUCAGCAAACGAAGGUCGCCAACGAUUGAAUUUAGGGUUUCAGAAUGAUUGAAGGUCGCCAACGAUCGGCCACUUGCUUCUGAAGAGGUCAAUCCAAUUCGUCGGUUGUCUAGGCUAACCAAAGAGGAAGAGCUGGCAUGGAUACGGCGACGAAGAGGGGGAUCUGGUGGCCGGGCAGAAGUACUUUGAGCGCCACAUGCACAGUGGCCGGAACGGUUCAAGAAAGCCUGUGGAAAUUGAGAGAGAAAUAUUAGCGGGGGACUUUUCUAUCAGCACAGCUGGAGGAAAGCUCACCCCGCCUUUGUGCGUUCACUGUACAGCCUGGACAAGAUAAAGAGGGCACUGUAAAGAUGGUUAAGUUACUCAAAACAGAGUGGUCGAGCCACCUGUGUUCUCUCUGCUAGUGAUCCAGGUUCUUUUGUUGAUUUGUGACCAGAUAGUUCCUUCGGCGCUGUUACCUUAAGAUACGAGGC
Molecule: long non-coding RNA, 494 nt
Organism: Diospyros lotus (date-plum)
Lineage: Eukaryota; Viridiplantae; Streptophyta; Magnoliopsida; Ericales; Ebenaceae
Exons: 3
Source: RefSeq, a predicted model, not a curated record